This 207-nucleotide unclassified non-coding RNA is filed under the name Hevea brasiliensis (rubber tree). The record is from RNAcentral. Lineage: Eukaryota; Viridiplantae; Streptophyta; Magnoliopsida; Malpighiales; Euphorbiaceae.
CUUCGUUGCCCCGAUCAGGCAGCACCUGUAAAAUUUCUCCAAAAGAAGUUCAAAACCCUCGACCUUCAAGGAAAAGCCCUUAACUGGCUGAAAAAGUACCCUUGCUGCUUUGAAGUUUAUCUCCACAAUGAUGAGCACUACUUUCGGCUAACAAAGAGGAUGAUGGCUUUGGUUGAAGAGGAAGAAGCUGUCAAAGAUAUGCAGGAG